This is a long non-coding RNA of Oncorhynchus keta (chum salmon), 384 nucleotides long. RefSeq lists it as uncharacterized. NCBI's taxonomy places the organism in Eukaryota, Metazoa, Chordata, Actinopteri, Salmoniformes, Salmonidae. The record is from RefSeq and is a predicted model, not a curated record. The transcript has 4 exons.
UGUGUGUGUGUGUGUGUGUGUGUGUGUGUGUGUGUCCUACGUGAUGGAGUUCUGGUGCAGUGUCUCCAGGGCUGUGUGUGUGUGUGUGUGUGUCCUACGUGAUGGAGUUCUGGUGCAGUGUCUCCAGGGCUGUGUGUGUGUGUGGGUGUGUGUGUGUGUCCUACGUGAUGGAGUUCUGGUGCAGUGUCUCCAGGGCUGUGUGUGUGUGGCUGUGUGUGUGUGUGUCCUACGUGAUGGAGUUCUGGUGCAGUGUCUCCAGGGCUGGCUGUGUGUGUGUGUCCUACGUGAUGGAGUUCUGGUGCAGUGUCUCCAGGGCUGUGUGUGUGUGUGUGUGUCCUACGUGAUGGAGUUCUGGUGCAGUGUCUCCAGGGCUGUGUGUGUGUG